UAAAAACAAAAAAGAUAAUGAAGACAAUGUUCAUAAAUACAAAUUGGUGGUGGCACUCUACAACUCCGACAGUCGUAAGGGAGCAGCGCUCGUAUGUAUAUAUGUAAUAUAUAAUAAGGAAAAUAAAAGAGCCCUGUC
Molecule: non-coding RNA, 138 nt
Filed under: uncultured Bacteroides sp.
Lineage: Bacteria; Pseudomonadati; Bacteroidota; Bacteroidia; Bacteroidales; Bacteroidaceae
Description: Bacteroidete tryptophan peptide leader RNA
Rfam family: Bacteroidete tryptophan peptide leader RNA
Source: RNAcentral